CAAUAGCGUAUAUUAAAGUUGUUGCGGUUAAAAGCUCGUAGUUGGAUUUCUGCCGAGGACGACCGGUCCGCCUCUGGGUGAGUAUCUGGCUUGGCCUGGGCAUCUUCUUGGAGAACGUAGCUGCACUUGACUGUGUGGUGCGGUAUCCAGGACUUUUACUUUUGAGGAAAUUAGAGUGUUUCAAGCAGGCAUGCGCCUUGAAUACAUUAGCAUGGAAUAAUAAGAUAGGACCUCGGUUCUAUUUUGUUGGUUUCUAGAGCUGAGGUAAUGAUUAAUAGGGAUAGUUGGGGCACGUCGUAUUUAACUGUCAGAGGUGAAAUUCUUGGAUUUUGUUAAAAGACGGACUACUGCGAAAGCAUUUGCCAAGGAUGUUUUUUCAUUGAUCAAGAACGAAAGUUAGGGGAUCGAAGACGAUCAGAU
RNAcentral lists this ribosomal RNA (420 nucleotides) under uncultured eukaryote. RNAcentral describes it as "SSU rRNA". It matches the Rfam family "Eukaryotic small subunit ribosomal RNA", at positions 592 to 1013 of the family's 1831-position model. The record is from RNAcentral.